CUCUGACCUUUUCUAACUCACACGUUUUUCUGCUUUGGGGGAUUGAACUACUCCUGGCUCCACCUCUCUGGUAUUUAAAUAAAGUCUGCAUAAAAUACUAAACUCACUUAUCUUCCAGGCUUUGCUCAGUCUCCAUAGCAACCUCCCUAGAAACAGACUUCUUUAAAAAGGAAUCUCAAAAAAGUUGGGAUCAUAUAGGACUGUGUUCUUUACAAUUGUACUGAAAAUUGGAAAAAAUAAAACCAGCUGUCUCAUCACAACCUCCGCUGACUUCGCUCUCGUUCCAUAACGCUCUGGCCUGGUCAUCCGCUUCCGCUCUGCCCGGACCGUCCAGUCUCCACGUUGCAGUUGGAACCAUCUCCAAACGCAAAAAUGAAACUACACAGUCACAGGAGUGUUACACAGUCUCUGUGGGGAAAAGCACAAACCAGUUUAAACUUAGAAUUCCUCAUCAUCUGACAGAAGGAUUUUCAUCAUGCUUUCUUAUGAGAAGAAAAUUUAGUGAUUUGCACUAGCCUUUGGGAAAAAUGCAGCUUACGUGCACGGAGACAAGACCAGCAUGAAUCCACUUGAUGCUUAGUUGCAGUUUGAAGAGAGUAUCACUGAAUUGCCCCAGGGACCCAUCAGUCAUUCUUCUCUUCUCGUCUUAUGCAGUGGCAGCAGGGAAAAUAUUCUAUGUAUCUGUCUCCUGAGACAACUGAUUGGUUCCCAGAAACAUCAUCGCCUCACGGAAGGACAAGUUAACUGGAUAUCCUAAAAGAACAUUGUAUACAAUGCUUAUUUUAUUUUAUUUUUCCAAGCUCUAUUUUUAAAGUAAAGUUGUAACUCAAAAGCUUGCAUAUUGGUGACCACAUGGUCUAGAAACAACUUGUCCAAUAAGCAUAAGCAUGUUUAAGGGGAUUGGUAUUGAUCACAAAGCCUCCCUCUUUGCUCUAAUUUCAUGUGGAUGCACUGGCAUCAAAGACAUAUGGGAAGAAAAAUUGAGUAAUGAGGCUGCCAUAGAAUAUAACUCCUUAUAGCCUUUCAAAGGAGUGAAAUCUUUAGC
Molecule: long non-coding RNA, 1045 nt
Filed under: Equus caballus (horse)
Lineage: Eukaryota; Metazoa; Chordata; Mammalia; Perissodactyla; Equidae
Description: lncRNA (ENSECAG00000056359.1)
Source: RNAcentral